Molecule: long non-coding RNA, 989 nt
Filed under: Apis florea (little honeybee)
Lineage: Eukaryota; Metazoa; Arthropoda; Insecta; Hymenoptera; Apidae
Description: uncharacterized LOC105735161, transcript variant X2
Source: RNAcentral
UCAAUAUUGUAUCACGUAAAUACGUUUUAUAACAGUUAUCUUAAAGUCUAUAAAUCAUGGUUAUUAGUACUUGUAAUAAUGAGAACUCUUAAUAGAUUCAAUGCAUCGUAUUGAAGAUUUUGGAAAUUUGCCAGAAGCAAUUGAUAAUAAUGUUCUUUCAUGCAACAGAUGUGUAAAUAUAUGCACAUUUUCAAAGGACAAUCGAUAUUUAAUUUUAUCAUUAAGAGUAAAUCGAACAUUUCCUGAAAAGGGGGAUUUAUUAAUGUAUCAAUUAUAAUUUCCGCGUGUAUAAAUGACUAUCAAGGUCUCGCGCCAUUAUCAUCGAUUUAAAAUAUCAAAGUAUUUAUAAGUGCGCAUGCCCGGACUCAAAUGGCGCGGCAGAACACAUACAAGAACGAUUGAGAUAGAAUAUCAGCGAGACUAGUGGAACUGAGAAAGACACCAAAGUAAAAUGGCUGCAACUAGUGCCAACAUAUACUUACACUUGUACUUUUCACGUAUCUUUUGGUAAUUUUCGAGCAUGAUCUCACGUGAUAUUUGACCACGAUUAAGUGCACGGUCACCAAUGGAACGCGUGGACACAACAUGGCUGCUAGACGCGCGAAGCAACCAAGACGACUUCGCUUCGAUACUGAAGCACGAUAAGUGUACGUACGCCACGUAUGACCGACUAUCACUGUCUGUUGCGCUCGCCUGCGUUACGAGGGGAUGAAGGGACUGCGUAUAGUUCUGGUUCAAUCAUGCUUCACGCAACGUCGCUGACACAUACGAUCAACUGUCAAGUGGGGAAAACGGUACCUAAAAGACGGAAAUAGAUGUAAAUGUAGGAAUAUAAUACCUAUAGUGUGUUGCCAAGUGUAUUUCCUUAAGGUGUGAAAUUCCAUUAAUUUGUGAUGUGUUAAUCGCAUCGACAAUCUAUAAUCAUCAGCGAAUUUUCAAUUUGCAUGAAUAAAUAUUGAUUAUUUUAAUAUUAAAAUAUAAAAAGAAAG